Molecule: long non-coding RNA, 1055 nt
Organism: Papaver somniferum (opium poppy)
Lineage: Eukaryota; Viridiplantae; Streptophyta; Magnoliopsida; Ranunculales; Papaveraceae
Exons: 4
Source: RefSeq, a predicted model, not a curated record
UUCAAUUUUCUGUGUUUUUUUUAGCAUUUUAAAAAUGGUAGAGAAAAUUUUGUUUUCUGUAAAGUGAAAAUGACAUCUGUAGAUGCAAUGAGUUAUUUAAGUUGUUAAUCUUUGUUCGCAUUUAAGAAAUUUGUACUUCUCAACUAGGUUUUUGGUUUCUUGAGGAGGUUUUGGAGUUAGUACUUGAUUUUAGUAGGAUUGUUACCAUAAGGGUUGCUAAACAAGUUAGUAGUUGUGUAUAUCCAAACGUUUAGGAUAUGGUGUUCUAGUAAUGGAUGAUUAAGAACUUCAGCUAUCAAACAAUGUUGCAUCCGAGUUGUGUAGUAUUCUGGAUGCAAUUGAAUUUCUAACUAAUUUGUUUGCUUUAAUUGCCCGCUAGCCCACUUUUUUGUGACUUAUUUUGUGCAGAGAUUCAUAAUUCAGUGGACAUGUAAUAGCCUCAAAAUUCCUUACAGAUGAUUCUUCCAAAAAUCGCGAUGCUGAGAAGAAGCAAGUGAUGUAAGGAGAUCAAAUUUUAGCUGAAAAAGCUUAAGGACAGUGUUUGUGAUGCUGAUGACAUAAUGGAUGAAUCCUCUUAUGAAACCUGUUGCGUCUGCACCGAUAUACAGUUCGAAGCUGGCUAAAUUUCCGUCAGUAAUUAACUGAUUGCCAUGAUGACUUGUCGUCUCAUUAUGGUUCAUCUUCAACAGCUUCUCUUUUGAAGCUCAUCAAUUUUUCCUUGAGUUUCUUGUCGGGAAUCUUUUGAAGCUUCACGUACAUACUCAGUUUUGUGACAAGUUCAACAUACGUCAUAAUAUUGCCGAACUUCUGGGGUAUCUAUGGCAGGUUCCUAGCCAUCCCAAUGCAUUAGUAAAGAUUGACAAAGAAGAGGAGAAGGGGUGUAUUUGAACUUUCUCAAAGUAUGUUUCUUCUAGACGGAAGUCUAAACAGAAUUCUGAAACUGAAAGAGAUAGAAAAGAGACGGUGAAUACCGUGGAAUGGGAAAGGAGAUCAUCUCAAGAGAGGCAAGAGAGAACCCGACAGUUCCAUUCUCAAGAGAAUGUUUUCUUUAAUUU